AGCAGCCGCGGUAAUUCCAGCUCCAAUAGCGUAUAUUAAAGUUGUUGCAGUUAAAAAGCUCGUAGUUGAAUUUCGGGAUCAAUAUAUCGGUCGUGCCAUUGGUACGUACUGGUAUCAUUGGUUUCUCCUUUCUGACGAACCAUGAUGUCAUUAAUUUGGUGUUAUGGGAAGUUAGGACUGUUACUUUGAAAAAUUGAGUGUUUAAAGCAGGCUUUAGCUUGAAUACAUUAGCAUGGAAUAAUGAAAUAGGACGUUCGAACCUAUUUUGUUGGUUUCUAGGAUCAACGUAAUGAUUAAUAGGGAUAGUUGGGGGCAUUAGUAUUCAAUUGUCAGAGGUGAAAUUCUUGGAUUUAUUAGAAGACUAACUACUG
RNAcentral lists this ribosomal RNA (371 nucleotides) under uncultured Glomus. RNAcentral's name for it is "SSU rRNA". It matches the Rfam family "Eukaryotic small subunit ribosomal RNA", at positions 569 to 945 of the family's 1831-position model. The record is from RNAcentral. Lineage: Eukaryota; Fungi; Glomeromycota; Glomeromycetes; Glomerales; Glomeraceae.